Molecule: ribosomal RNA, 427 nt
Filed under: uncultured bacterium
Lineage: Bacteria
Description: partial 16S ribosomal RNA
Rfam family: Bacterial small subunit ribosomal RNA
Source: RNAcentral
UGGGGAAUAUUGCACAAUGGGCGCAAGCCUGAUGCAGCCAUGCCGCGUGUAUGAAGAAGGCCUUCGGGUUGUAAAGUACUUUCAGCGAGGAGGAAGGCGUUGUGGUUAAUAACCGCAACGAUUGACGUUACUCGCAGAAGAAGCACCGGCUAACUCCGUGCCAGCAGCCGCGGAAAUACGGAGGGUGAAAGCGUUAAUCGGAAUUACUGGGCGUAAAGCGCAAGCAGGCGGUCUGUCAAGUCGGAUGUGAAAUCCCCGGGCUCAACCUGGGAACUGCAUCCGAAACUGGCAGGCUAGAGUCUUGUAGAGGGGGGUAGAAUUCCAGGUGUAGCGGUGAAAUGCGUAGAGAUCUGGAGGAAUACCGGUGGCGAAGGCGGCCCCCUGGACAAAGACUGACGCUCAGGUGCGAAAGCGUGGGGAGCAAACA